GGAUGUGAGGGCGAUCUGGCUGCGACAUCUGUCACCCCAUUGAUCGCCAGGGUUGAUUCGGCUGAUCUGGCUGGCUAGGCGGGUGUCCCCCUCCUCCCUCACCGAUCCAUGUGCUUCCCUCCCGAAGCUGCGUGCUCGGUCGAAGAGGAUGACCUUCCCCCCCGAGGAGAGGACCGGUCUUCGGUCAAGGGUAUACGAGUAGCUGCGCUCCCCUGCUAGAACCUCCAAACAAGCUCUCAAGAAGCCAAUUACAAAGACCAAACUAUAUGAUUCCUUCAUAUGAAAGGUCCAGAAUAGUAAACUU
RNAcentral lists this small nuclear RNA (304 nucleotides) under Myotis brandtii (Brandt's bat). RNAcentral describes it as "7SK RNA". It matches the Rfam family "7SK RNA". Rfam says of the family: 7SK was discovered as an abundant small nuclear RNA in the mid-70s but a possible function has only recently been suggested. Two independent studies have found that 7SK RNA binds the CDK9/cyclin T complex (known as elongation factor P-TEFb). Lineage: Eukaryota; Metazoa; Chordata; Mammalia; Chiroptera; Vespertilionidae. The record is from Rfam by way of RNAcentral.